Molecule: long non-coding RNA, 379 nt
Filed under: Pelobates cultripes (western spadefoot toad)
Lineage: Eukaryota; Metazoa; Chordata; Amphibia; Anura; Pelobatidae
Source: RNAcentral
GGGUCUUGGAUUACCAGUCCACCCAGUGAACUUGGGCCAGGUCAAAAAUCCCAGUGGCAAAAACUCAUAAUUGAGAAAAAAAGCACAUCUGGGUAAAUUCUAAGUGAGGGCCAUGACUGUGUAAACAUGUCAUCCCCUCACAUUGACAGCAUUAGUGACUUAUAAAACCUGCACUAUGUAAGUAAAUAGCUCAGGUAUCGGGAUUGGGAAACACUUCUUGAUUAGUUUGAAAAGGCCCACUUACAUAUUAAAUCAUAAGAUCAUUUCUAAUCAGUUUGUAAUUCUAGCAAUAAUCCCAAUCAUGACCUUGCGUCCUAUGCCUCCUAAUCAAAUCCCUAUUUCGAUAGUCCAGUCAUAUCCACACUUAAUACAUUGGAAU